Molecule: long non-coding RNA, 888 nt
Filed under: Gossypium raimondii (Peruvian cotton)
Lineage: Eukaryota; Viridiplantae; Streptophyta; Magnoliopsida; Malvales; Malvaceae
Description: long non-coding RNA (GRAI_LNC004977)
Source: RNAcentral
CCAAACUUAAAAACUGAAAAGUAAAAACCCAACUACUACUUUCAAGUGUCAGCGGAAACUUUCAGCAGAAUCGACAUUUCAACAUUGCCCUAAUCAGGUCUAAAUCCUUCCUUUUCUUUUUCUUUCUUCAACAUUUCAGCCUUCUUUCUUUUUCUUCUUUUUUUUCUAAAUCCCUAACUAAAUCCUUCUUUCUUUUUCUUCUUUUUCUAAAUCUUUAAUUUCUUUAUUCACAAUAUAGAAAGGGUUAUAACCGUGGGAACGAGGAAGAACAUAAAGAACUCUCAAAAAUUACUCUAAAAGGAAGUGGAGAAGAAAGGGAGAAAGUUGAACCGAGAAUUAAAGAGAAAAGCGACUCUUUGUGCUUUAGUAGGUAUUGUAUCGAUGUAUCUAAAUUCUUAAUAUCUUCUUUCUUUGAAACAAAGUUGUUCGUAGGUUGAAUAUUUGUUUCAUGACGUAUUUUGGUGAGAAAUAUGUUUGACUUGUUAAUCUCACGAAAGCAGUGUUUUCUUUAAUACACUUGUUCCCAUGAAAGCAAUGGUUGUAGACUUAAAUGUAUUGAAGACAUGUCAUGUACUUGUAUAUACAUAUAGAUAUGUGUGAAUAUGGAAAAAAAAAAAAAAAGGAUGGAUCGGGUCUAUUCGAACUUAAAAACGGACUUUAGCAUGACCCGUAAUCAGCUCUAGUUAGUUAUGGAGAGGAGAGAGGAGAUAGAAUAGAAAGAAAAUGAAUCAUGGAGAAAGAAUAAGGAAAAAAGGGGGGGGGGGGAAGAGAGAAAAGGAAUAAAAAAUGGUCUUAACAAUAGAAUAGAUAGAUUUAAUAAUGGAGUGUCUAAUUUAGUUAACUUUUUUAAUGGUGAUGACCAAAUUAAUUUUCUAGAAAAUUAAGAAG